Molecule: unclassified non-coding RNA, 688 nt
Organism: Apis florea (little honeybee)
Lineage: Eukaryota; Metazoa; Arthropoda; Insecta; Hymenoptera; Apidae
Source: RefSeq, a predicted model, not a curated record
CCGCGUUAUAACUUGGUUUGCCAGCCAUUGAUUACAGCCACGGUGCCUUAUCUUCCCCUUACACGCCUGGGGAUCAGGAUCCCCAUGGUCUUUAAAUGUCUCGUACAUCCCCGAAAUUAAUAUCUGUUGGUCCAAUAUCAUCCGUCGUACGCCAACCUCCAACCUUUGCCUGCGAAUUACGGAACAGCUUUAUUAAAGGAGCGAACGGAAUGCGCAGGCGCGGCCGCCAGACCUACACGCGCUACCAGACGCUCGAACUGGAGAAGGAAUUCCACACGAACCACUACCUCACCAGGCGGAGGCGGAUCGAGAUGGCACACUCGCUCUGCCUGACGGAACGGCAGAUCAAGAUCUGGUUCCAGAAUCGGCGGAUGAAGCUGAAGAAGGAGAUACAGGCGAUCAAGGAGCUGAACGAGCAGGAGAAGCAGGCGCAGGCGCAGAAGGCAGCGGCAGCAGCGGCCGCGGCUGCGCAUCAGCAGCAAGCGGCCGGUGGGGGACCGGAGGGGGCCAACUAGGGGUACGCCCUGCACCGGAGCCCCCCUGACCACCCCACCACCAAUCCACACCACCCUCUGCUAGCACCGCAAUGUACACAGCUAUAUUAAAGGUGCGGCACAACUUCGUUAGCAGGGUGGACAGAGGAACGGAACGUGUCUGGAGCGGCUUGGCGUUUUGAACGAAGGUACCA